This 464-nucleotide ribosomal RNA is filed under the name uncultured bacterium. RNAcentral's name for it is "partial 16S ribosomal RNA". It matches the Rfam family "Bacterial small subunit ribosomal RNA", at positions 28 to 507 of the family's 1533-position model. The record is from RNAcentral.
GACGAACGCUGGCGGCGUGCUUAACACAUGCAAGUCGAACGGUAAGGCCCUUUCGGGGGUACACGAGUGGCGAACGGGUGAGUAACACGUGGGUGAUCUGCCCUGCACUUUGGGAUAAGCCUGGGAAACUGGGUCUAAUACCGGAUAGGACUACGCGAUGCAUGUCGUGUGGUGGAAAGCUUUUGCGGUGUGGGAUGGGCCCGCGGCCUAUCAGCUUGUUGGUGGGGUGAUGGCCUACCAAGGCGACGACGGGUAGCCGGCCUGAGAGGGUGUCCGGCCAUACUGGGACUGAGAUACGGCCCAGACUCCUACGGGAGGCAGCAGUGGGGAAUAUUGCACAAUGGGCGCAAGCCUGAUGCAGCGACGCCGCGUGGGGGAUGACGGCCUUCGGGUUGUAAACCCCUUUCAGCACAGACGAAGCGUAAGUGACGGUAUGUGCAGAAGAAGCACCGGCCAACUACGUG